GAUGCAAUGAUGAGACAAAAGCACGAAGAGUGUAAGUAGAGUAGUGGACAAGAGAAGAAUUCUUUAAUGGGGUUUGUAUCUUGCCGUGAGCUUAUCUAAUAAACGACUUCUCCUUCCACUGAGCAUA
Arabis alpina (gray rockcress) is the source of this 127-nucleotide non-coding RNA. The record is from Rfam. Lineage: Eukaryota; Viridiplantae; Streptophyta; Magnoliopsida; Brassicales; Brassicaceae.